This 1710-nucleotide unclassified non-coding RNA is filed under the name Zea mays. Its description in RNAcentral is "misc RNA Zm00001eb037650". The record is from RNAcentral. Lineage: Eukaryota; Viridiplantae; Streptophyta; Magnoliopsida; Poales; Poaceae.
CCGCCGCUUCAGCGCGGGACAACACCACGCCGGCGCGGACCCACCAGCAUUUUCAGGCCCAGAAUUUCACGCGCUGACGCGCCUGCGCCUUGCGAAACACCCGCAGGCCGCAGGCCGCAGGCCGCAGGCCACGGGGGGCCCCGCGCCGCCCGGCCGAAAGGGACGAUGGGACUGCGGCUGCGGACUAGUGGAGUGCUCCUGCUCCCGCAACAAAUCCCAACCCCAAGUCCCCCCAACCAAAGCAGAGGAAAGAGCCGAGGACGCGAGGGCGACGACCCGGAGGAGCACCGGACCCGAAGGCGGAGCCCCCCAAGCCAGAACCCGGCGAGGGGGUCGGUGCCGACCAUGUCCUCGCCCGCGCCCUCCCCGCCCGCCGGGGCGCCGUCGGAGCCGCUCCUGCUCCCGCUCCCGCCCCCGGAGUUCUACUGCUACCAGUGCGAGGCCACGGUGUCGCUGCCCGAGCCGGCCGCGCCCUCCUCGGCCAGGCUCCUCUGCCCGCUCUGCCAUAGCGACUUCAUCGAGGAGAACCCUAGCACCCCGUCUCCACCACCACCUCCGCCGCCGCCGCCCCCACCGCUUUUCCUCUCCGACUCCUCCUCCUCCUCGCUCUCGGACGACCCCGACGACGACUUCGACCUUGUCAUGGACCCCGACGUGGUGCGCGCCUACCUUAGCCGCUUCGCCCACCGCCACCACCUCCAGCAGAUCGGCCACGGCCCCGGCCCGCACGGCCGAGGGGAGCCGCCCGCCACGGCCGCCUCCAUCGCCGCGCUGCCCACGGUCGAGGUUGCUGAGCCCACCGCCGUCUGCGCCAUCUGCAAGGACGACCUGCCCCUCGCCUCCGAGGCGCGGAAGCUCCCCUGCGCCCACCUCUAUCACUCCUUCUGCAUCGUCACCUGGCUCGGGAUGCACAACUCCUGCCCCGUCUGCCGCUUCCGCAUCCCCCCCGCCGACGACCCCGACCAGGCCGCACCGUCGCAGCAGGACCCGCCGCCCACGCGGAUCACCAUCCGCUUCAGCACCACCACACGCCGCCGCGUCCGCAUCGGCAGCGAUGCGCCACUGGCGUCUCAUAUCUCGGCGUCGCCCACGCAGCUCGCACAGGCUAUUACCGGGGAUGGAGCUGGUGGACCUGCCAAUAGCGGCGAGACUGUGUCAUCUGAGUGGCCUCCGCACCCCGAAUCGGAUACAGUCAUGUCGGAGGCACGCGAGGGGGGUGGCUUUUUUGAUUGAGCCAGAGGUUCCAAUUAUCAGGCGAUAAGGUAGCUGCUGUUAGCUGUCAGCCAACAGGAGUAAAAGGAGGCUACCACCUACCAUACGCUUCCUGUCUUCGUUCGGACGAGGUUUCUCGCAAGGUGAUGGCGUGCUGUUACAGCUGAAACUAAAGCUGUCCUUGUUCGGACGAGGUUUCUGGCGAGCGAGAAGAUGGCAUGUUGGUUACAGCUGAACUAAAGUUGUCCUGUUAGGAGAACAAGAGCAUUCAUCGCAUGGGUUCCCGGUGUCUUGUAUAUUGGUUAAACGUAUUUAUUCGUAAUAAAUAUAUAGGCAUGUACAAUGUGCAGUACUCCGUUUCUGGUGUCCCCGUGCCCUCCAUGCAACUUGGUAGGUACAUAUGGGAAUGAAUCGAGUGCUGUUUGGUUCACAUAUUUGUAACGUGAACGGUAAUCAAUAACGUCAAACCAUGUUUGUUGCAAUCAGAUAAUACACUAG